Molecule: long non-coding RNA, 4068 nt
Organism: Apis cerana (Asiatic honeybee)
Lineage: Eukaryota; Metazoa; Arthropoda; Insecta; Hymenoptera; Apidae
Source: RefSeq, a predicted model, not a curated record
AUCGCGUAAAAAUUUGCAACUCAAUCGAACUAUUUUUGAACGAGAUAUGUCUAUUCAUUUUUAAAAAUUUUCAAGUAUAUCAAUCUUCGAUUACGAACGAUUAAUAUUCGAGUCCCUUUUUCUAUCUACAACUUAAAUAUUAAUAUUUAAAUAUUCCUUUAUCUUCUUCGAUGAAUUUUAUGCAACAGCUCGCGUAUAUCAAUAAAAAUCGCGUAAAAAUUUGCAACUCAAUCGAACUAUUUUUGAACGAGAUAUGUUUAUUCAUUUUUAAAAAUUCUCAAGUAUAUAUCUUCGAUUACGAACGAUUAAUAUUCGAAUCUUUUUUGCUAAGUUCAACUUAACCACUUAAAUCUUAAAAAUUUAAAAAAUAUUCAAAUAUAUAUCUUAUUAUUUAAAUAUUCUCUUUUCUUCGACAAAUUUCAUGCAACAUCGGUCGCGUAUAUCAAUAAAAAAUUCAUGUAAAAAUUUGCAACUUAAUUAUUCUUAAACGAGCUAUCUCUAUUCAUUUUUAAAAAUGUAUAAUUACGAUUACGAACGAUUAAUAUUCGAAUCUUUUUUUCCAUCUACAACUUAACCACUUAAAUCUUAAUAAAUUUAAAUAUUCCUUUUUCUUCUUCGACGAAUUUCAUGCAACAUCGUCCGCGUAUAUCAAUAAAACUCGUGUAAAAAUUUGCAACUCGACCCAAGUAUUCUUAAACGAGAUGUGUCUAUUCAUUUUUAAAAAUUCUCAAGUAUAUACCUUCGAUUACGAACGAUUAAUAUUCGAAUCUUUUUUCCCAUCUACAGCUUAACCACUUAAAUCUUAAUAUUUAAAUAUUCCUCUUUCUUCUUCGACGAAUUUCGUGCAACAUCGUCCGCGUGUACCAAUAAAAUUCAUGUAAAAAUUUGCAACUCAAUCGAACUAUUCUUAAGCGAGAUAUGACUAUUUAUAUUUAUAUUUAAAAAUUCUCAAGCAGAUACAUCAAUCUUCGAUUAAUAUUCGAACCUCUUUUCCACUCGAUUCGAACCAACUCCCACCUAAACCAAUCUUGAAUCUUAACAUCUGAAUAUUCCGUUUUCUUCGACUAUUCCGUGCAACGCCUACGGUAUCGGCCGCCAUAUCCCAACCGUUCAGCUUUCGAUUAUAAGCCCGUCCUUUUGCGAGGCCGUCUCUACAAAUGCCAACGGGCCGAUAUAUCUUCGCGGAGAACGUUCGUAACCCAGUUAGCCCGAAGGUUCCUCCUACUUUCACCGACCGCAAAGUCGACUUCUGUCCAUUCAACUGGCCUCCCGGAGUCGGAGGAGGAAUCAACGACCCGGUCGAGGUACCGUUCGAGUUUGCCACGCGGCUGGAUCCGCGCGAUCGAGCGCAUAAUUUUCGACUACUUUCACUGGCUUCGCCACCUGUGCCUGUCGAUUUUACUCCUCUGAAUUCGCGCACCUGACCCAGUUGACCGUUUCGAGAGAUAUCCGCGAUCGUCGACGAUCAAGGUCAUUGGGCUGGCUAGAUUCUCUCUUCUCUAGCAGAUAGACUGGUUCGAUGGAUGUGUACCGUAUCAUAUUGGCAGGAAAUAACCGUGGGCAGGAAAACUCUCGACAGGGGAUAGGGGACGGUCAGGAAGUGGUAUUCCAGUCGAUGGAACGAUGCUCUUUCUAUCUGCUUGCGUGCUACUUGAAUGGCUGAUAUGUGAAAGUAUUGAUUGGGUUAAAUCUAUUUUUGCUUCGUUUUUCGGAUUAAAUUCGAUUGGGGAUAUAGGAAAAAUCUGUAAUCACAUUAAGAAAUGGAAAAUAAGGUUGUUAGUAAAAUUUAUAAUAUGCCAAGGGCUUACGACCAGAAUACGACGUCUAGAAUAGAUUUUUCAAGUUCAAGCUCUUCGAUUCUUGUCUCUUCUAGGAUUUUCGAAAUAAUGUUGGUUACGUAAUUCUUCUAAAAAUAUAUAUCUCUAUAAAUAUAUAUUAAUAAAAUCCGUAUUUAAUAUUGGUGAAGAAUAUUUUAUUGGUAAAAUUUUUUUUCUUCAUUUUUAAUUAAUCUUAGAGGUAUAAACGUUUCUUUGAUACGUUGCAAUCGUAUAUGCUAAAAUCGGAUGCAUUCUGUUUUUCUCGAAAUCAUGAGCUAUAAUCAUGUUCGUUAUGACGUUAAUGUCGCGACUGAUAAACAAUCGCACUGACAUUGAUGUUAUCGCGAAGCAUCGAACAAUAAUUCUAUCAAAAAUUAUUUAGAAUAGAGUGCGCCACUGAAAUGGAAGCUGUAGAUAUAUUUGUAUUACAAUUCUUCAUUUAAAAAAAAAAUUUUAACAUUGAAUUAAUAUUUUUAGCUAUUUAAUCAUUUAUGUUUAAUAUUUAUUAAUUUGAUAAACAUUUUUUUUUCAACACAAUCAUAUUUACCCUCAACUCAGCAUUCCUCAAACUCUACUAAGAACGUUUCACCGCUCCAUUACAAAAUCCUUGUGCUCGAAGGUCUCGUAACUAUUCCAGUCACCAUGCUCCACGAAUAACUUUCAUUCACCCUAGUAGGUACAAUCACUAUCAAUCGCACGUUCUCACUUCUUUCCCUUCUUGUUCACGACCCUUAUUCCCUAAACUUUCAAGAUUUCGAAUCGGCAAAUCAAUUCUAAUACCACGAGUCAUAUCAUCUGUCUCUCUCUUUCUCCAUCUUCGUUUCCUACAUCAGGAGGGUGCGUCUGCGCAGAACAGUAUUGCCAACGCGACGCACGCCUCCGCAUGGACCUAGAUCUCUACGGAGCACAGCAAGAACCGGCGCCGGCGUUGCACCGCAUCGCAGUGCACACAGUGCGUGACGUCACCGGUGGCACGUGCCUUUCCCCUUGCCUCCCACCGCAGCCGGCACUGCAGUGUUGGGCGGUGUGCAGAGGGGCGGAGGGGUGGCCGGCCCAGAGAGAUGUGGUGGGGGAAGGUAGUUAAGGUCACCGUGGCCCUGACUGCACGCGCGCGAAAUGAUAUCCGUGUGCAGACCGGUGCAGUUGUGUGCGAUCUCGUGCUCUUGCGAUUCACGUGUGCGCACGCGCGCUCAUAGUAUUCACGGACGGAAAGAUUUAUUUCUAAUUCCACCGCAACCGUUCUUUCGUCUCCCUCUUUCCAAACUCGACCACGACAAUAACUUAAAAGGAGAAAGAGAGAACUUGUGCAUAGAUUCGAGGUGAAUUCGAGCGAUGGUCAAGGCCCGCGAGCCUCGACGGCCAACUUUCCUUCCUUUCCGCCCACUCGUCGUCCACCCUUUAAUUCCUAGGCAGCUGGGGUGGAGGGCCACGAAAUGACCUAGAGUGUCGAGCGUGGGCUUCGCUCGGGCCGCGCGUGGCACGGCAUUGCAUCGUUUUUGAACGUGUAGUUGCAGUAGAGGUGGGAUCCUGUUGGUCGGAGGUGGAAAUGGUUGCUUGGUAUUUUGCGAGAUAUUGGACUUGAUGCAAAUGGCUAGUCAUUUAACACAUGAUUAUAUUCAGUCAUUUAUAUCUUUAUACGCAUGAUGCUAUCACACUAAACUUUCUAUUUAACUUCUCAAAGUUUUCCUAGUGAUAUUUGAACAAUAAUUUAUAAUAGAUAAAAUGAUGAUAGUUGACGAAUAUUGUAGACGGCGCUUUAUGGAAAUGUAGUAAUACAUGCGACACCGUGGCCGUUACGGGAAACAUUAAUUCUAAAGUUGUUCAACGGACGAAGUGAGAGUAAUGUAUCCUUCCAUAAAUUCUUUGACACGUGGUUAGAUUCGAUAAUUUAAUGUCUCAACGAAAUCAAGGUCGACUGCAUCUUCCCGAGAUGUUCUCGAUGUACGAAUGCGGAUGUUCCGAUUCAUUUUCAACGAUAUACAUACAUAUGCGUGCGUACAGUUGAAACUCUGGGACGUUGGGUUGUAUUGUGACACGUCCGUCCAUCUUACGUAAUAAUAUUGCGUAAACUUGACGUUCACCGUAAUGUCUGUAGUACAUAUUUCCGUGCGCCCAGCAACAACGAACCGGCUAGAAUCAGAUAAAUUUUUUUGAACUAGUUUCAAAUUUCAUCAAAGUUUUCAAAAAUUCCUUUUUCUUAAAGGAAAAUUUUUAAUGAUAUUACCAAAUCAAUAAAUUAUGUAGAAAAUAA